UAUAGGGUCCCAUGCAUAUGCAUUUGCAGCAUGAUGAGACACUACAUGAUUUGACCAGACUGGCCCUGCUUCAUUCGGUGGCGGAGACCGUCGGUAUCAAUCUACUGUACGCCUGCGUUAUUGGUCGUCCACACGCCUCCAUGGACCGACCAUGGGCAUGAAUUGAUGGAGGAUUGGAGGUUGAGCUGCUAGGUAGCUGGAUGGGAUUUUUUUUCUAGUCUUAUCUUAUACGGAAUACUCCUCUACAAAAGGCCAUUGAGCGAUGGAGAUGAUGAAGGCAGAGAGGCUAGCAUAGCAUCCUGCUACUUUCUAACCCUGCUGCCAUGAAGUUCUUUUCUUGUCUCUCUUCCCUGCAGCUGCAGGCCAUCUGCGCGCUGAUGGCGAUCCUCCUGGCCAUCACCAUCUCUUCUUGCUCCGUCGUCGUCCACUGCUCGGAGGUCGAAGGAGACUCCAACGCCCCAAUCGAUGGUGCACCCGUAGCUCACCUGGACGGAGGUCGCCGGGGCUUGGCGCCGCCGCCGCCGCGCGGCGGCCCCGUGCGCGCGUACUUCGUCGAACCGCGACCGCCACCGACACAGCGGCGCCGCGUUUAGCACCUGACCCGGAAGAUAGGCCGGAUCGGAGCUUGAGGUGACGCCAGUGAUUAGUGCCGUUGGCGGUGAAUUGGUGGUGCCGAUCCCUCGUCACGUUGCUUGGUUAGUUCCGCAUCUGGUGGUGUCACUAAGAGAUGGAGGCGCAAAUAUGCUCGUUAAGCUUUCAGUAAAGCUGCGCGUGAUGCCUUCGGUCGAAAAAGAGAUGGUGGCGCAGGUCGAUUUUUCCAAGAAAUUAUUACUUAUUGUACAGGAUUACCUCGAGUACAGUAUUGUUGGGUUAAUAGUUGUACCGCUGUGAACUGGACUAGUACGUAGUAGAAGUCUACAGUGACCACUCACUCUCCA
This is a long non-coding RNA of Panicum hallii, 938 nucleotides long. RefSeq lists it as uncharacterized. Lineage: Eukaryota; Viridiplantae; Streptophyta; Magnoliopsida; Poales; Poaceae. The transcript is spliced from 2 exons. The record is from RefSeq and is a predicted model, not a curated record.